GAAAGUAAUGUUGCAAACAGGCCAGCAAACACCCUAACUGAAUAAGAACACUUCCUGGGAGGAUCUUAAGAGGUCUGGGCAGAUGUUUCUACACCACUACUGUUACUGGCAAUUACAAACUUUGCAGCCAUCUCCAGAAUGCUUUGCUUCAAAAUCAUUCCUCGUGUAUGUAAGCCUAUCAGACCCAGCAGCACUCCUACGCCUUUUACCACCACUAAGGUGUGCUUGGAAAUCAAGAGGUCUGUAGCUUAUGUGCUUCUGUUACUUGUAUGAGGGACUCUGUAGCAUGCUCCAGGCAAACAAACCCAGGUGUGGACUGUUGUUCAUUAGCUGUGUGGUACCGAAACUGUCAGUACCAUACAUUCAGUAUAAAGUGACUGAUGUUAGCUAUACUCUCUCAGUUUAGACUGAGCACAAGCUAGAUUCUUGAUAGUAUUAAUUUUGGAUAUGGAAGGGUGUUAAAAUUCAAGGUUGACGUUCAGGCAACAUCUCUUGCAAGAGAGUAUUUGGCAAUUCUUGCAAAAGCAGAACGAAUUAGCUCCAUAGUUUAUGAAAAGUCCCUAUUUCUUCCUUAUACUGUGCAGCAUGAGUUCCUCUUAGGUUGGAAUACUACUGUUUGUGAGCAAGGCAUAAGGGUUACUACACACUGAAGUACUGUGGGAUUUGAGAGCUCUCUGCUAUGCUGACCAUGCAAUUCUUAGAACUUGUCAGUCCUGAGGGUGAAGUUUUCAGCCUCUUCAGAUUCCACCUGCACAGCAGGCAGUGGCAGGUAAUUUUACCAAAGGGACAAUCCAAAAAUCUUCUUAGCUGCAGAUAGAGUUCCUCAGGCUCUGUCAUGGAUUCCUUUGCUUCUAUGUUGUUGAAUUAUCUGUCAGCAUGGAAUAAAUUUCCUUUUUUUGCUGGAUAGUCUCAGAUACAUUUUUUUUUUAACCUUUUGGUAGUGUUUUUCAGCUCUUGCUGAAGCCCUCUCUUUGCCCAGCAGUGAAUGGAAGCUAGAGCAUUGCUUCUUGUUAUUACUACACUGCAUAUAUUACGCUAAGGAUUAAUCCCUGUACAGGAGGAGAAUGAGAUGGGAAAGUCUACACAUUUUGGAUGCUGCAAAAGUUAUUUUGGACUGCAUUAUUAAUCUCCUAAAGCAAUUUGCCAUUCCUUUGUAUUACUUGUCUGCACUGAAGAUCAGAUAGCAUUUGGGCUUUAAGAUAAUGAGUUUUAGAGACAAGUCUGUAACAGAAUAGUAUUGUAAGAAAUAGAAAAUAAAACUGUCAGGAGAUAUUCUAGCUUUAGUGUUUGCACUGAAAAAAAUGCCAAUUAUCAGUGAUAAAAGGCUGACUAUUAUAACUUAGGUGGACUCAGUCCUAUCAGGUAGGUGCUCUGGAAACUUGGAUAUUGUUUGAGAACUAAUUAUGAUGAUGCUCCUUCAACACUGGCAACAACAGUACUGCCACAUCUUAUGUCUGUGCUACACCAUGUUCUCAUGUAAAAAUACCCAGUAGAGGUUUAAGCUAAUUACUUUGGUUACUAAUUGCAGGUGCAGGAGUAGUACUAAAAACAGGUGCAGGAGUAGAGACUGUACUACACUGCAGGGGUCAGUCUUAAGGCUAUAAAAAGGUAAGUGACUUAAGUCUUGGGGGUAAGCAGCAGCCUAAGCAGAUUAAUGUAGUAGUGCAAGCUCUUGAAUAGUGGCACAUCUGAAGUGACCUGAUUUAGAGAAGCUAGAACUGAGCUAGGGAGAUUAAGCAAAUUUUCCUACAUCAAUAAAUGCCAGUGCCAGUACGUGAUUUGCAGCCCUGCAUACUAUACUCAUCAUCUUGUUCUCUGUUGAUGGGACAUCCCUGCCUCUCUAAUAAUUUAUUUCUGUAUGCAAAAGACAUUCUGUGUUUCAGGGUGCUUGAAAUCCAGUCAGUUCUGGUCAGACUUCAAGUUGCUGAAGUAAAACUCCAGCUCUGAGCCACCCUAUAAUGUAUCAUAUCUAAAUUUUAAUGUUGUGGCUUUAAUGUAUGUGUAUUAUUAUGUACAACAUAUUAGCAGAGUUGUUUAACUGUAAGCAUCCCUUCUGCUGUUGGUGUACUCUUAGUGUGAAGAACACUAGGGACACCGGAGAUUACUUCAGAAGCCUUAAGAGCUUCCCAGCCAAGAGCAUUAAAGCUGAUGUGCCUUC
This is a long non-coding RNA of Gallus gallus (chicken), 2158 nucleotides long. NCBI's taxonomy places the organism in Eukaryota, Metazoa, Chordata, Aves, Galliformes, Phasianidae. The record is from Ensembl.